CCUACAUGAAGCUGGAGUUACUAGUAAUCGCAGAUCAGAAUGCUGCGGUGAAUGCGUUCCCGGGUCUUGUACACACCGCCCGUCACACCACGGGAGUUGGAGACGCCCGAAGCCGAUUAUCUAACCUUUUGGAAGAAGUCGUCGAAGGUGGAAUCAAUAACUGGGGUGAAGUCGUAACAAGGUAGCCGUAUCGGAAGGUGCGGCUGGAUCACCUCCUUUCUAAGGAGA
RNAcentral lists this ribosomal RNA (228 nucleotides) under Clostridioides difficile. RNAcentral's name for it is "partial 16S ribosomal RNA". It matches the Rfam family "Bacterial small subunit ribosomal RNA", at positions 1315 to 1533 of the family's 1533-position model. The record is from RNAcentral. Lineage: Bacteria; Bacillati; Bacillota; Clostridia; Peptostreptococcales; Peptostreptococcaceae.